Molecule: long non-coding RNA, 9465 nt
Organism: Capsicum annuum
Lineage: Eukaryota; Viridiplantae; Streptophyta; Magnoliopsida; Solanales; Solanaceae
Exons: 5
Source: RefSeq, a predicted model, not a curated record
UAUAAAAAAUCCUAAAACACGACCUUUAAACCCUCCAACUCUUCAGUUACACUCUAUCUGUUAAAAUCAAACUCUUCAAAUCCUAUUCAAAUGUUUAAAAAGAAAAACCACAUUCCACUUCAAAUCCUUUUACCCCACUUGCAUGCAUUAUUCUGUGAAGUUAAGGCUAAAUUAAGUUUUUAUCUUCUUCUUCUAUAGUCUUUAUUCAAGGUACUAUGGCACCCAAGGCUACACUAAAGAAGGGAGUAUAAUCCAGGUUGAGAGAUGAGUCUCCCGAGUGGAGUGGAUCUGUUGAGGAGUACCUUAUGUGUGCGAAAAGUCCACCCUUGUCUCCACGCCAAACUAGGGGAUAGGCAUAGAGGCAAGCUGCAGCCAAGAAAGCUACUCAGUCAUCACCAUAUACUAUUCAUUCGGGAUCUCUGCCUUCACCACCACAGGCACGGCAGUUAGGGCCCUAGAAUUUACCAGCUCAUUUUAUCCGGACUAGGCCUCGAGUGUAGUCAGUCAUGACUUCACCACCACACUAUCCCCAGUCUGAUGAGGGAGAGGAUGAAUCAAGUUAUGGUUCUGGUGAGGAGGAGUAUUCAGCUGGAGCCCAGUCUAAGGAGGGGUCAGAGUCUGCUUUUGGUAUGAUAGUGAGAUUUUAUUCAAUUUAGAGGCAUCUCAGUCUAAUAAGGGUGUUGAUGUAGUUCAAGUUACUUAGGAGGUUUCUUCUUCAUCUCAGAGUGCUCAAGAUAUUUUUUCUUCAACAUCUGCUACCUAGGAGUCAAAGUCCACACAGUCUUCAUAGUCCUACGUGCUUAGCUUAUUUUGAGAUGGUGUUUUAAGGGAAUGUAGAGUAUUAAUAACAAAGACAACACUAUUGCUGAGCAGGGUAGACCAUAAUGCGGUAUUAUGGAGGAGACCCAAAUUGAUUUGGUCACUUUGGUAGGUACUUCAUGCAUACAGGUUGUAUUUGAGAGAUAUUGAUUUGGAUGGAUGAUGCAACCAUUAGGUUCUUACUUCCCGAUAAUUGUCCAGGAGUUCUAUGAUUCAUAUAUGGCGUUAGUGUAUUUAGUUACCCUAGUUGAGAGGGGAGGAAUGGACCAGCCCCCAAAGACUCAUAACUAGUCAGAAUGGUGAGGGUCGAUGUAUAUGAUGAGAUAAUUAGGCGGUUCUUAUUUGGGCCAGAGUUUAUGAGGCUGGCCACCAUAGAUGAUUUUGAUUAUCAUUUGAGGCUAGUGAGGAGUAGGUGUACGAUGCGAGAUACUAAGUAAGUAAUGCAGAGAGUAGACUUGACUAGAUGGGUAGCCAAGUAGAUUAUAGAGUUAGGUAUUGAUAUCUUUUGGGUUGAGAAGGCAUUGUUGCAUUUUACAACAAAGUCUUGGUGGACGAUAGUGAGGUAGCAUUUAAGUCCAACAUCUACGAAAAACAUGCUCACUUGCGAUAGAGUUGAACUGAUUGCCAGCCUGAUAGCUGGCUAUGAUAUUGACUUUCCUAGGUGGAUCCGAGCUGAGAAGGCAUUCUACGAGUUCAUCACCCUUCCCUUCCCUUGUCUAGUGCAAAGAUUAUGUGAUGCGGCCGGAGUGCCGACUACUCUUGAUGUUGAUCGGAGGUUCAAGGCCACCUCCAUGGUGAAUAUUGGUUUUGUUAUGAAUGCGUCCAAUCCUAUUAUGAUACAGAAAGCACAGUCAUUUACUUCUUCAGGUGCGGUCUACUUUGAGGGGCCUUUUAUAUCUGCCAAGUAGGUUGAGAGGCCGACAUUAGUUGUGGAUAUUGAUACAAGCAAUCAGUGGGUAGAGCCUAGUGCUACUACAAGUAGUGAGAAGGUUGUGGGCACUUCAGCAUUGUCCUCGGCAUCUACUUUGUCCCCUCGCCCACCAGUUAAAGGUUUUGUUAGUGUGCCUCAGGAUUUUUUAUUUCAGCUAGUGGAUCGACUGUAGGAGUUGAAUGACUGCCCAGGCACAUACAGAUACCCGAUUGGCUAUAUUAUUUGGUCAGAUCAGGCCAUGGGUCAGGACCACAUUAGAGGCUUAAGAGGAUAAAUUUAAGGGCAUAAUGAUGGCUUCCAUAAAGUGGUUCGUUAGAAAGCUGCAUGGGUAGAUUGACAUUUUUAGGCUCGGAUGGGAGUACAACUUUGUGAGGUCCAGGCACCUAAUUUAUCAAGCCUACGUGAAGAGGUGGCCAUAUUGAGAUCUGAGGUGCGCUCGUUAACUGAGACCCACAUUCUAGUCAUCCCUCCGGUGAUUCCUUCUUUUACAAAACCUCUAUCAAGACCUCCACCUAUGGUUUUUGAAUUAUUUGUUAAGGAUGAUGAGGCCUGCCUAUGUGGUCUAAGAGAGGAUGUUAGGCAGAGGAGUUAGGUGAAUCUAAGGAGUUCUAGUGGGCCUUGAAAAAGGCCACCGCAGAGUUGAGAGUUCAGCAUGUGGUGGAUAAAGAUAGGCAUGCCUAGAUGGCAUUGGGCACCUCUUCUAGUCACUCACCACUACCACCUCCUGAUGAUAAGGCACGUGAUACCUCAGAUGGAGGUGAGCCAACUUUUGAUGCCUAGAUUGUCCCAGGUAUGUACCUACACCCUUUUGUUAUUUAGUUUCUAGUAUACGCUAGGGACAGUGCAUUAACUUUCAUUUGGGGGUGGGGGUGUACCACCAUAAGGGUUUUUGUUGUCGUGUUUCUUUUUUCAUCGGAUGCUUUAUCGAAGUUAAAAUAGGCAUGUUUAGGUAGUGUUUGUGUCGUAAUAUGUGUUAUGUGUUGUUUUAUUUAAUUAGAAGAAAAAUAAGUAACCUAAGUGCAAUUGACAUGUUUUGUUUUUUGUUUGUAAAAGUUUGGAAAUAGGAUACCCCUCCAAAAAAAAUUAUGAACCGUGUUUAUAAAUAUAUGUUUGACCAUUGUUUUAAUCUUGUUAUGGCAUUAGUAUUAGGGAGAAAAUAAUCAAAGUUUAGCAUUGCAUGAACUGGAUAGGCAGUAACUGAUAAUAUAACCCUAUACCAUAUGUAUGUGAGGAAUUUGCCUAGUUCACUUUGUGCAUUUAAUCCAAAACUUACCCAGUUAGUUUUUUGUAGGUUGUAGGAUAAUUGGUUGGGACAUGAUCAUAGGUCAUUUUUAAAUUAGUCCACUCUUAGCCAAAAAGACUGUCCAAAUAAGAAAGUAUCCUUUGAUCCCUGAUGUGAGCCUAAGUUGUCCUAUUUUCUUAUUUUAAACCUUUUCACCUUCUUAUUUAAUUAUAAUGAACUUGUGUUGGCCAUAGUCCUCCUUGGACAUUGUGCACCUCAACUCAGGCAAUUCACCUAAGUUGAGGGUGACUAUCAUAGGGGUGCGUAGUUGAAAAUAGGUAUAAAAAAAGGUCUUGAGAAAAUUUAAAAAAAAAAUAGGGUUGGGUGUGGUAGAAACAUGUGAAAAAAUAAAAAAAAAGAAAAAAGAAGAGAAAAAAAGAAGAAGUGAAUAAAUGCAAAUCAAGAAGAAAACCACAGCUGAUCUGAAUAAGUAACAAAUGAGAAAAAGGGAGAAAUAAGAAAAUGAUGGUUGAGUAGUGGAAGCAAACAAGGUAAGGGGAGUGUCAAGGAGGGUGAGUCACUAUAUACCAAAUAUGUACCUGCCCUUAAUCCUACAUUACCAGCCUAAAAAAGUCCUAUGGUGAUCCUAGUCCAACUGUCUGAGAAACACAGAUAUAGAAAAUAAGGGCAAGCUUAUGGUAUUUUAUGCACAUUAUUGGAACCUCUUUUGAAAGCGUGAAUGACAUGAUAUCGUCCCCGCAUUGACAUAUAUUAUUAUACUGUGAGAGUUGGUACUUCUUUUUUAUGAGGGUACAUGAGUUGUAGUGUUAACUGCUUAUCUGUUCGGGUGGUAUAAAUUGCAUAUACGCUUGGUUGUUUGUCGUUAAUAUAAUGCCAUCACUUGAUUCCUUUGUGUCAUACUGUUGAUUCCUUUGUGUCAUACUGUUGUGCUACAUGGAUCGAUACAGUGGUUUUAAAACUCGUAAAUAGGAGGGGGUAAGAUGUUUGAGCUAAAUUAAGUUGACUGACGUAGGUGCCUUAGGUUUUUUUUAGUUAAGCAUCAUGUUUUUUUAAUUAUGUGUUAGUUGCCUGAGGACAUGCAAAUGUUCUAACUUGAGGGUGUUGAUGGGCUAUGUUUCAUGGCGCUUUUGAUGCUUAAAACAAGGAAAUUAUGCAAGUACUUAGGUCUGUUUGUUAGAUGUGAUGCGUUUUUGUGUUAGUUUUGAAGGAAAAUAGAGUUUGGAGUAGAGACAGAGCAACAGAGGAUGAAAGAAAGCAAGAAAUCUACUUACAAGCCCUACCUAUGGGUCGUAGGUAGUACCUACUGGCCUAUAGGUUGGCUUCGUUGGUAGGAUCCUGAAAAGUUCUUCAAGUUGCUGUAUUUUAUGAGUCCUACAAAGCCUACCUACCAGGCGUAGGUAGUAACUACGGCCCCGUAUGUACCCCUUUAGGUAGAAGUUCUGAAAGUUGAAUACCCCUUUGAUUUCUAUGAACCUACCUACGGACCGUAGGUACUACCUACAACCCGUAAGUGGGGUCAUAGGUUGGUGCCGACUCUAUAUUCCUUCUUUGUUUGGGAUAGGUUUUAUAGGUUUUCUGAUGUAUCUAUAAAUACCCAUUGGAUGUUUCAUUAAUAUUUUACGCACUCUAUACACUUAUUACAUUGUUUUGAGUUCUAAGAUACACUUUUGAUUUUGGAAUUCUUGUUCUUGGUUUAAUAGGGUUUGAUAUUAAUUUGAUAUUUUGGUUUUCAUUCUUAAUUAUUUGUGAGAUCAUUCGUAUGCUUUUAGUUAUGAAUACUGUGCAUAUUCUUACAAUCAUGAGCUACUAAACCCCAUAACUAGGGUUGUAGGAACCCUGAUGCUGAUGGAUUGACAAAGUAGAGAAAGUGCAAAGUCGGUCUUGAUUGGUGUUCUUGCAUGUAUUGUGAUUUCUUUCAUAUUGAUUGCUUUUUAAUGGUUAAAACGUCAAGAACCCAUUUGUUCUUGAUACUAACUCGAGAGAGAGGUUGAUAUUGGGAAAAAAAAGAUCCCAACAGUAAUUUAAAGCUACCAAUCUUCAUCUAAUUAACUUGACACCGAGAGAAGAUAGUUAAUUUGGGAUCUAGGACAAAGGUUAGCAAUACGACACUCUGAGACCGAGUGGAGAUGAGUGAAAUUCACCCAAACCAAAGUCGAGAGAGAAUUAGGUGAUACAUAGCUUGCUAGAUUCUAUAUGCAAAGCGCCGAGAUAGUUUGACAAGCACGAUAAGUCAGUGGAGUUAAAAAGUCAGGGGGAGCACAAUCUGAGUGACCAUCUGAUACUGAUAACAACCCUAUUUGCCAGCAUUGUUACUAUUACUUUUAUUCUUACAAAAUCCCCUAUUCACUUGCUUCACUUUCCAGCUAUAUCAGCAAUCUCGUGAUAGAUUUUUGUCCUAUUCCCUGUGGGAUUGACCACAACUUUGUUGAGUUCUAUAUUUGACUAUUGACCAUGUUAUACAUUUUAGGAGGUGUAAUUAGGGUGACAUCAUUGCUUGGAAAUGUACCUUUUUAACAUUGGUUCAGAGCUAAAGAAAUUUGGCCAAAUUGCUGCUCAAGUUUCUUAAUAGGGGUAGAAUGAGACUUUUUAAUUUAUCCCAAAAAUAUUUGCUCGAAUCUCUUAAAGACUUUUAUCAAUUUUCUCCACCUCUUUCAAUGUUUUAGAUAGCAGAUCCUCCACCCUCGAAUUACUCGAUUCAACAUCACAACAGAUCCUCCACCCUUGAAUUUCUCGAUUCAACAUCACAACUACCAGGUGAUAUGCCAUAGCUUUAUAAAAUUUUCGACACUAAAAAUAAAGAAAAUAUUAAAGAACUGAGGUAUAUUUAUAAAUAUGAUAUAUUUGUUUAAGCUUUAUACGGGAAAAUAGGUCUUGGUAGUAGACGAAUGAAAAAGAGCUAAAAUUGGCUUAAGUAUUGACAUUUGGUGCCUGGCCAUGACUUGUUGGGUCAUGUUAUGAGUCGUGGCGUGAUUCGUACUAAAGAUUGUGCCCAAAGUUUUGAAGAUAUAUAAGUCAAUAUGUUUGCUAAGGUUCAUGCUACAAAUCAUUGGGAUAGGGGACGAGUCGUCACCUGGCUCACCCUAAAGAAAUAUUUCAAAAGUCUCGAAGGGGUGUAAUUUUUUCCCAGUGAAAAUAACUUCGCCCUACGAGUCGUUGGUAAAGUUUACAAGUUAUUGCUAGACUCGUAUUGAGCAAAAGAGGCCAAAGUCUUAAAAGUCCCCAAAAAAAUAAGUCAUCAGAUGGGUCGUACCAUCUGGUAAUGGUAAUGACUCAUUGAUUGACCCAUAGAGACUGGCACUAAUACAAAAUCUUGUACUCCCUCCAUUUCGGAAUAAGUGAAUUGUUGGGGUAUUUAUUGGUGUUUCAAAAUAAGUGAAUCAUUGAAUUUUUUUUCAAAGUUACCCUUAUAAUUUGACAAGCAAUUAAUUUUCGAAAAGGUAUUAAAGGUCAACUUUUGCUUUUUGGAGGGUAAAAAUGGAAAGUUGUGUUAAAUUUAUGUCUUUUGCUUUUUCCUUAAUCUGUGUGCCAAAAUCCAAUAAUUCAUUUAUUAUGAAACGGAGGAAGUAUUUUGUUUCUUUGUUUUUGGUACAUACUGAUGUUUGCCCUCCACAGGUACCAUGAAACCAAAGAAUAUGAUUAAUAAAUGCGUAAAGAAAGGGGAAAAGCCUACCCAAACCAGGGACUAGACUAAGGAAACAUCCACCCGAUAGGUGGUAUAAGAGUACUGACAAAUAUAGUGGCUCAGUGGAGGAGUAUCAAUUCAUGACAUCAAAAUUGGUAUGAGAGUACUGACAAAUAGAAUGGCUCAGUGGAGGAGUAUUGAUUCAUGACUUUAGUUAAUCCAUGCCAAUAUUUACCUGAGACAUGGAGAUCGAGGCCCUGAACAACGAAUGCAGGGGUGACCCCACCACAUACACCUAAAGGAACUCCCCAUUCUGGAGAGGGAGAAAAUUCAGAGUCCAAUAAAGAUGACGACGUAAGCAAAUUCAAAAGCAAAGAUGGGUCUGCAUCUGAUAGCCCCUCAAAAUAUUAAACAAGGUAGAGGCAUAGUACACAGGUGUCUAGUGAGGCUAAUGAUGAAACCUUCAUAAAAUCAGCCUUCCCCACAGAAUUAGCCUUCACCACAAAGUCAACCCUCACUCUAAAUUUAGGAAGCUCCCUAUAUUGAGAGAUAGGGUAUUCAGGGUAUGCAGACAAUCUAUAAUCGAGGCAUUACAAUCAAUCAAAACACGAGUCGACCAAAGAGGAUCUUCUAUGAGGAGCCGAGAUUGAUCACUAUGAGUUUGUGAGGUUUUCAAUAACUAUAUGUUUAGAUAGAUAACAGAGUAGCUAGGUAGAUUAGUCAUGCACUUGUUUGAGAGUUCUAUGUUACUUAAAGGUGUUGGCUCUGCAGGGUUUUGUUAUGGAGGAUGCAAUAUCCAUUUACGAGUGUUAUAAUUUGAGAUAAUCAGAUAGACAAGAUGAGAAAGGUAAGGCUGGAGCAAAUUAGUACUGAUGACAACAUGGUUCAUUUUCGUUGGAUGGCGAAUAUUUUUGUCAUUGCAAAGAAAGAUGUUGAAUGGAAAGCCGAUAGAUUGUCGCAAAUAAAGAAAGGUUGACUGUCUGGGACAUCUGGGAUAAAGCUAUGGAGAUAUGACAAGCAUCAUAUUCCCAUGUUAAGAGAGUCUCAAAUUGAGGUCGCGAGGCCCGAGCCCCAUACUAUUACUUUUGCUAAGACCUUAUCUACUUUAUAGCGGACCUCAGUCGUGGUUUCAUCGACUCCUACUCUUGGUGUAUCAAUGAUUCACCCACUUGAUGGUGGGUAGGUUAUAGUUCUACAGGACUUCUUGCAGAAAGCUCUAAAGAGUUGAUCAAUGUUGAGUGAAGAGUGGACAACAUUGAAGGAAGGGUCAGAUCUUGGGUAAAAAUUGAGAUUAAGACAGAAAUGGGAGUGAUAAAGACCCAAUUUGAUAGUUUUGAAUGGAGACUGAAUACUAAGCUCGAGGGUAUUUAGUCCUCAUAUUUGAUCGAGAUCAAAGAGGAGUCUGCUUCACUAUGGUCAGCAUUCCAAGAUCAUGCGAAUUAUAAUAUCGCAUACCAACCCCUCUAUGGUAAACUCUAUAACGAGAGUUUUAUAACUCAGUUUCAGGUGUCGGAAGUUGCUACGACUCCUAACUCAUUAUCUAUCUAAUUAUCACAUCAAACAUCUCUACCAAUAUAUUUACUGGAUUUUUAUAGACUAACACACCCUCAAGAAUCAUCCAGUCCUAGACUAGCCCUGAAUUUCUCGAAAUUCGGCUAACGGAGGACUAAGUGCAAAUUUUAUCCCCUCUUUCAGUAUAACAACUACUUGGGUCAUUAUAGUCAUGAGUAAAAGCGACUCCAAACUAUAAUAGAAUAUGAAAUAUACAACUACCUGUCUCUGAAGUAAAAUAAAGAAAUAAUUAUCAUAGAAGAAAUUGAGAACAUGCUAUGGACGGGGAGAUCAGAAAUUGAGAACAUGCUAUGGACGGGGAGAUCACCACAAUUUUUAUAGAUCCCAAGGCUGCAUGAUCACUAUCCACAAAUGAAACUCAAACUAGGAUUUGCACCAAAGGGGUACAAAAAAGUAGGAGUGAGUACGAUCCACUUAUACUCAAUAGGCAUCAUAGGUCGACCAAGCUAAGUAGACAACUAAAGAAGUAAAGCAAACUACGGGUAUCACGUCAGCCCUACAAACAAAAAAAAUUCUCAACGAAUCAACUGUAGAGCUCUUAACAAUAUAAUAUAUCAAUCUUCACAAACAUAUAAGUAUAUCAAAACCACAUAUACAGAUAUCCAAAUCACUAAAUCAUCCAUAUAGAAGAGAUGCAUUGUAGGCAACACGGUAAUAUGGUACGAAUGCAGUUUCAUAUGCUCACUUCUUAUACAACUUCUAAGCCUAAGCUUUCAGGAUAGGACCCAUAGGAAUUCACAACCCAUAUACUAGGCACACCUUAUCAAGCAACUUUCCUGACACUUCCCUUGAUUAAAGAAAUAUAUAAAAUGGUUCAUUUUUCUUUUGUAGAGAUUUUAACUUCAAUAGUAUUGCCAGAUCCAUAAAGAAUAAGAUAUAAUGAGCGUGAAUGAUCAUUGAUUAAACAAGGAUAUACUAAUUAGUUCAACAAUGUAUAAGUGAAAUUCAAAUCUCUCAAUAAUCAGUGAUUCAUGAUUUAAGCCACCACUCGGGCAAUAAUGAAAUAAAAUCAAGAUAAAGAUAGAAAUUCACACAAGCCCCUACUAGGGCAUCACAAUAGCCAAAAAAAAGUAAAUAAGACACUAAUAAAAUUCACACAGCCCUCAAGAGGACAACACGAUAAUAAUAAUUAACUCAAAUAAUGUAGACAAUAAGAUAUUUCCCCAUCCAUGAUAUGUUUUACAUGAUCAGCUAUCUAUCCCGUCCAGUCUAUAGAAAGUUAAGUCAUAACCUACCCGGAAAACCAAAAACAUGAUCUUGAACCCCUCAACAAGAAGU